UGCAGUCGAACGAACCCUUCGGGGUUAGUGGCGCACGGGUGCGUAACGCGNGNNAACCUGCCUUUAGGUUCGGAAUAACUCAGAGAAAUUUGAGCUAAUACCGAAUAAUGUCUUCGGACCAAAGAUUUAUCGCCUUUAGAUGGGCCCGCGUUAGAUUAGAUAGUUGGUGGGGUAACGGCCUACCAAGUCGACGAUCUAUAGCUGGUCUGAGAGGAUGAUCAGCCACACUGGGACUGAGACACGGCCCAGACUCCUACGGGAGGCAGCAGUGGGGAAUACUGGACAAUGGGCGAAAGCCUGAUCCAGCAAUGCCGCGUGAGUGAUGAAGGCCUUAGGGUUGUAAAGCUCUUUUACCAGGGAUGAUAAUGACAGUACCUGGAGAAUAAGCUCCGGCUAACUCCGUGCCAGCAGCCGCGGUAAUACGGAGGGAGCUAGCGUUGUUCGGAAUUACUGGGCGUAAAGCGCGCGUAGGCGGCUAUCCNAGUCAGGGGUGAAAUCCCGGGGCUCAACCCCGGAACUGCCUCUGAAACUAGGUAGCUAGAAUACUGGAGAGGUGAGUGNAAUUCCNAGUGUAGAGGUGAAAUUCGUAGAUAUUCGGAAGAANACCAGUGGCGAANGCGACUCACUGNNCAGNUAUUGACGCUGAGGUGNGAAAGCGUGNGNGCAAACAGNAUUA
RNAcentral lists this ribosomal RNA (676 nucleotides) under uncultured bacterium. Its description in RNAcentral is "partial 16S ribosomal RNA". It matches the Rfam family "Bacterial small subunit ribosomal RNA", at positions 56 to 780 of the family's 1533-position model. The record is from RNAcentral.